UACGAAGGGUGCAAGCGUUGUUCGGAAUUAUUGGGCGUAAAGCGCACGUAGGCGGCUUUGUAAGUCGGAUGUGAAAUCCCGCGGCUUAACCAAGGAAGUGCAUCCGAAACUACAGAGCUUGAGUACUUAAGAGGAUCGCGGAAUUCCCGGUGUAGAGGUGAAAUUCGUAGAUAUCGGGAGGAACACCAGUGGCGAAGGCGGCGCUCUGGGAAGAUACUGACGCUGAGGUGCGAAAGCGUGGGGAGCAAACAGG
This 253-nucleotide ribosomal RNA is filed under the name uncultured bacterium. RNAcentral's name for it is "partial 16S ribosomal RNA". It matches the Rfam family "Bacterial small subunit ribosomal RNA", at positions 524 to 776 of the family's 1533-position model. The record is from RNAcentral.